GAUGAAGAACGCAGCGAAAUGCGAUAAGUAAUGUGAAUUGCAGAAUUCAGUGAAUCAUCGAAUCUUUGAACGCACAUUGCGCCCGCCAGUAUUCUGGCGGGCAUGCCUGUUCGAGCGUCAUUACAACCCUCAGGCCCCCGGGCCUGGCGUUGGGGAUCGGCGGAGCCCCCCGUGGGCACACGCCGUCCCCCAAAUGCAGUGGCGGUCCCGCCGCAGCUUCCAUCGCGUAGUAGCUAACACCUCGCGACAGGAGAGCGGCGCGGCCACGCCGUAAAACACCCAACUCUUCUGAAGUUGACCUCGAAUCAGGUAGGAAUACCCGCUGAACUUAAGCUUAUCAAUAAGCGGAGGA
This 352-nucleotide unclassified non-coding RNA is filed under the name soil metagenome. RNAcentral's name for it is "partial contains 5.8S ribosomal RNA, internal transcribed spacer 2, and large subunit ribosomal RNA". The stretch from base 1 to 120 matches the Rfam family "5.8S ribosomal RNA", at positions 35 to 154 of the family's 154-position model. The record is from RNAcentral.